AAGCAGCGGAUGAUGACUCAGAUAUCAGGGUCCCUGCUAUUCAGAUGGGAUUCCAGACUCCUGGCUUCAGUAGAGCCCUGCCCUCAGAUCUUGAUGCCAUUUAAGGACUUCUUGACUUGUCAUCUCUGAGAGCUAAAAGUGUCCUUCUCUUCAAGUAAUGUAAGCUGAAAUGGGAUGAUUUUAUAAAAUCUUCAAAGGAAUUUCCACCAUAAAUUAUGUAUGGGCAACCUACAUGCCUGCUGCUGUGUGGGCCACUAAAAGCAUUUAUAGAUAUAUCCAAUGUAUGAAAAAUGCUCUUCAUUAAAUGUCUUGCAACACCCAGAAAAUAACUCUAGUACCAACAAAUAAAAGUUGAUUAAACUU
This is a long non-coding RNA of Ochotona princeps (American pika), 363 nucleotides long. RefSeq lists it as uncharacterized. The transcript is spliced from 2 exons. NCBI's taxonomy places the organism in Eukaryota, Metazoa, Chordata, Mammalia, Lagomorpha, Ochotonidae. The record is from RefSeq and is a predicted model, not a curated record.